GCACGGCGAAUGGGAGAGAGCGGCGACGCCGCCGCCGAAGGCGCAAUCCACCCGGAAACGCUCAGGCAAAUGAACCGUUCGUGCACU
This 87-nucleotide non-coding RNA is filed under the name Candidatus Accumulibacter. Its description in RNAcentral is "Glycine sequence". It matches the Rfam family "Glycine riboswitch aptamer". Rfam says of the family: This family represents the bacterial glycine riboswitch. Glycine riboswitches usually consist of two metabolite-binding aptamers domains with similar structures in tandem. The record is from RNAcentral. Lineage: Bacteria; Pseudomonadati; Pseudomonadota; Betaproteobacteria.